RNAcentral lists this small nucleolar RNA (51 nucleotides) under Brugia malayi. Its description in RNAcentral is "snoRNA Bm15595". Lineage: Eukaryota; Metazoa; Nematoda; Chromadorea; Rhabditida; Onchocercidae. The record is from RNAcentral.
AUAUCAAUUAAUUAUGAGGAAUACCUUAAUCUGACCUUAUUAUCAUCAUGU